RNAcentral lists this ribosomal RNA (497 nucleotides) under uncultured bacterium. RNAcentral describes it as "partial 16S ribosomal RNA". It matches the Rfam family "Bacterial small subunit ribosomal RNA", at positions 28 to 507 of the family's 1533-position model. The record is from RNAcentral.
GAUGAACGCUGGCGGCGUGCCUAAUACAUGCAAGUCGAGCGAACAGACGAGGAGCUUGCUCCUCUGACGUUAGCGGCGGACGGGUGAGUAACACGUGGAUAACCUACCUAUAAGACUGGGAUAACUUCGGGAAACCGGAGCUAAUACCGGAUAAUAUAUUGAACCGCAUGGUUCAAUAGUGAAAGACGGUUUUGCUGUCACUUAUAGAUGGAUCCGCGCCGCAUUAGCUAGUUGGUAAGGUAACGGCUUACCAAGGCGACGAUCCGAAGCCGACCUGAGAGGGUGAUCGGCCACACUGGAACUGAGACACGGUCCAGACUCCUACGGGAGGCAGCAGUAGGGAAUCUUCCGCAAUGGGCGAAAGCCUGACGGAGCAACGCCGCGUGAGUGAUGAAGGUCUUCGGAUCGUAAAACUCUGUUAUUAGGGAAGAACAAAUGUGUAAGUAACUAUGCACGUCUUGACGGUACCUAAUCAGAAAGCCACGGCUAACUACGUG